RNAcentral lists this ribosomal RNA (496 nucleotides) under uncultured bacterium. RNAcentral's name for it is "partial 16S ribosomal RNA". It matches the Rfam family "Bacterial small subunit ribosomal RNA", at positions 29 to 507 of the family's 1533-position model. The record is from RNAcentral.
AUGCACGCUGGCGGCGUGCCUCAUACCUGCAAGUCGAGCGCACAGAUGAGGAGCUUGCUCCUCUGACGUUAGCGGCGGACGGGUGAGUAACACGUGGAUAACCUACCUAUAAGACUGGGAUAACUUCGGGAAACCGGAGCUAAUACCGGAUAAUAUAUUGAACCGCAUGGUUCAAUAGGGAAAGACGGUUUUGCUGUCACUUAUAGAUGGAUCCGCGCCGCAUUAGCUAGUUGGUAAGGUAACGGCUUACCAAGGCAACGAUGCGUAGCCGACCUGAGAGGGUGAUCGGCCACACUGGAACUGAGACACGGUCCAGACUCCUACGGGAGGCAGCAGUAGGGAAUCUUCCGCAAUGGGCGAAAGCCUGACGGAGCAACGCCGCGUGAGUGAUGAAGGUCUUCGGAUCGUAAAACUCUGUUAUUAGGGAAGAACAAAUGUGUAAGUAACUAUGCACGUCUUGACGGUACCUAAUCAGAAAGCCACGGCUAACUACGUG